RNAcentral lists this ribosomal RNA (383 nucleotides) under uncultured bacterium. RNAcentral describes it as "bacterial SSU rRNA". It matches the Rfam family "Bacterial small subunit ribosomal RNA", at positions 28 to 408 of the family's 1533-position model. The record is from RNAcentral.
AUUGAACGCUGGCGGAAUGCUUUACACAUGCAAGUCGAGCGGCAGCGCGGGGGCAACCCUGGCGGCGAGCGGCGAACGGGUGAGUAACACGUGGGUGACCUGCCCUCAGCUCUGGGAUAAGCCUGGGAAACCGGGGUCUAAUACCGGAUAUGACUCCAUGACGCAUGUUGUGGGGUGGAAAGCCUUGUGCGGCUGAGGAUGGGCCCGCGGCCUAUCAGCUUGUGGUGGGGUGGAUGGCCUACCAAGGCGACGACGGGUAGCCGGCCUGAGAGGGCGGACCGGCCACACUGGGACUGAGACACGGCCCAGACUCCUACGGGAGGCAGCAGUGGGGAAUCUUGCGCAAUGGGCGAAAGCCUGACGCAGCGACGCCGCGUGAGGGA